This 412-nucleotide ribosomal RNA is filed under the name uncultured bacterium. RNAcentral's name for it is "bacterial SSU rRNA". It matches the Rfam family "Bacterial small subunit ribosomal RNA", at positions 954 to 1367 of the family's 1533-position model. The record is from RNAcentral.
AUGGGAACGCGAAGAACCUUACCUAGACUUGACAUCUUCUGCAUUAAUCGUAAUGGAUGAAAUCCCUUCGGGGACAGAAUGACAGGUGGUGCAUGGUUGUCGUCAGCUCGUGUCGUGAGAUGUUGGGUUAAGUCCCGCAACGAGCGCAACCCUUAUUACUAGUUGCUACCAUUAAGUUGAGCACUCUAGUGAGACUGCCCGGGUUAACCGGGAGGAAGGCGGGGAUGACGUCAAAUCAUCAUGCCCCUUAUGUCUAGGGCAACACACGUGCUACAAUGGUGAGUACAGAUAGAUGCGAUACCGCAAGGUGGAGCCAAACUCUAAAACUCAUCCCAGUUCGGAUUGUAGGCUGCAACUCGCCUACAUGAAGUUGGAGUUGCUAGUAAUCGCGAAUCAGAAUGUCGCGGUGAAU